AUGGCGGACACGGUGGUGAGCAUGGCGAGAUCCAUGCUGGGGGGCGCCAUCACCAUGGCCGCCUCUGCCGCGGCCACCGAGAUGAGCCUCCUCAUAGGCGUCCGCAAGGACAUCUGGUUCAUAAAAGACGAGCUCAAGACGAUGCAAGCAUUCCUCGUGGCUGAUGAGAAAACAAAGAAGAAAAACAUGCUACUGAAGGUGUGGGCAGAGCAAGUAAGAGAUCUAGCAUAUGGUAUUGAGGAUUGUCUUGAUGAAUUUAUGGUGCAUGUGGGAAGCCAGAGCCGUUCUCGACGGCUGCUUAAGCUGAACGAUCGGCAUCGGAUUGCCAGCCAAAUCCGUGAUCUCAAAGCAAGAGUUGAAGAAGUGAGCAAUAGGAAUGCACGCUAUAACUUGAUCAACGCUGAUGCCUCCAGCAACAUUGACGAGGUGAAUGCCAGCAUGGAAGAUGUUCGUAGCCACUCAGCUGGUAACAUUGAUGAGGCAGAGCUUGUGGGCUUUGUUAACCCUAAAGAGGAGUUGAUUAAGAUGGUGGAUGUUAACUCCAGAGAUGGUCUUUCGAAGGUGAUAUGUGUCGUUGGCAUGGGCGGUUUAGGCAAGACUACUCUAGCAAGGAAGGCAUAUGAUAGCAAGGAAGAUAUUGUGAAUAAAUUUGCUUGUUGUGCUUGGGUCACAGUCUCACAGUCAUUUUCGAAGAUAGAGAUGCUCAAGGAGAUGAUAAGUCAACUUUUGGGUACCGAGUCACUGAGGAAAUGCUUGAAAGAACUUGAACAGAAGGCAAUGCAAGUAGAGCAUCUCGCCAACUACCUCAGAGAAAAGCUAGAGGACAAGAAAUACCUUAUUGUUCUUGAUGAUGUGUGGACCAUAGAUGCCUGGAAUUGGAUCAAAUAUAUUGCUUUUCCUAUUAGAAACAAUAAAGGUAGCCGAAUAAUAGUAACAACACGAGAUGUGGGCUUGGCUGCGCAGUGCACUUCAGAAUCACUUAUCUACCACCUUAAGCACCUACAAAUAGAGGAUGCCACAAAUUUGCUACUAAGAAAGAGUGGCAAAACACGGGAAGACAUGAAAAAUGAUAAGAAAAUGAUGGCAGUGGUCAACAAAAUUGUAAAGAAGUGUGGUGGUCUACCGCUGGCUAUACUCACUAUAGGAGGCAUGCUUGGCAACAAAAAGGCAACAGAGUGGGAAAGUAUCUAUACACAAAUCCCAUCAGAGCUUGAGAGCAACCCUAGCCUAGAAGCAAUGAGGAGGAUAGUUACUCUAAGCUACAAUAGCUUGCCGUCUCAUCUCAAGUCAUGCUUUCUGUAUCUAAGCAUCUUUCCUGAGGAUUUUGAAAUCAAAAGGAGGCGUUUGGUAGAUAGAUGGAUAACAGAGGGGUUUGUUAGAGCCAGAGGUGGAGUAAACAUCAAAGAUGUUGGAAUAAGUUAUUUCACCGAGCUAAUCAACCGAAGCAUGAUUCAGCCCUCAAAAGUGAGCAUAGAAGGACAUAUUAAGAGUUGCCGAGUCCAUGAUAUCAUGCGUGAUGUGAUGGUCUCGAUAUCCAGGGAAGAAAAUUUUCUGUACUUGGCAGGAGAUAAUGCAACUACUAUAGCAGAGGGGAACUUCCGUCAUGUAGCAUACCAUGGUAGUAAGUGCCCAAAAUUAGGCGUGGAUUGUAGCCAUGUUCGUUCAUUAACCAUGUUUGGUGAGAGAUCCAUGGAGCCAUCAUCUUCAAUUUGUUCACCUGACAUGAGAAUGCUCCGAGCCUUGGAUCUAGAGAACGCACAGUUUGAAGUGACACAAAAGGAUAUCAGCAACAUAGGAUUGUUUCGUCACUUGAAGUAUCUGAAUUUUUCUUAUCCUCAAGGAUAUUCACAUAUUUACAAACUACCUAGAUCCAUAGGGAAAUUACAAGGCUUGCAUACUUUGAACAUAACAGACAGUUAUAUUACAGAACUGCCAACUGAGAUUAGUAAACUCAAGAGUCUGCAUAGUCUCCGUUGUACCAGAAAGAGAUCCUAUAAAUGGUUUGUCCUGGGUGAACCCAAGGAAUGCUUUCUGAACACAUUAUGUUUGCCCAUGCCGUUCACACCUUUGUUUAAUUCUAGUGAGCAUGCUGAGGCAGUUGCAGAGCUACACAUGGCAUGGUCUAGCAAUGGGUCAGAGUCAGAAGGUGUGAGUGUGCCAAAAGGAAUCGGCAAAUUAAAAGAGCUGCAAAUACUAGAGGUUGUAGACAUCAGCCGAACUAGUUGCAAAGCAAUUAAAGAGCUAGGUGAGCUUGUGCAGCUGAGAAAACUGAGCGUGGUAACAGAAGGGGCCACCAAGCAAAAAUGCCAGCUACUCAGUGAUGCCAUUGAGAAGCUCACUUGCCUCCGCUCCCUUAAAGUGGUUGGUUCACUCAAGUGGAUGCAUGUUGUUUCCUCUCCUCCUCCCCUGUUGAGGAGCCUGAAGUUGUAUGGACACCUUGGAGCGGUUCCUGGCUGGUUUGGCAAUCUAAUGCAUUUGGUCAAGCUUUCCUUAGGGGGCAGCGUAAUAAAGGAAGAAGGUAAAAUCAUGGAAAUACUAGGGCCACUUCCCAACCUCAUGGAGCUUGGUCUUAGAAGCGGCUCUUAUACUGGGGAGACGUUAGUGUUCAGAACGGGAGCAUUCCCAAAUCUCAAAAUACUUGAUAUUUGUGAUGUGCAGCAACUGAGAGAGUUGAUAUUCGAGGAGGGCGCCUCGCCGCAGCUGGGAAAGAUAGAAAUCGAAGUCUGCCAGUUGAAAUCAGGGAUUAAUGGUAUCAAGCACCUUGCAAGUCUCAAGGAGAUUUGUCUUAAUUGGUGUGGUGAAGUGGCCGGGCUUGGUAUGUUGCGACGUGAAUUGGAGGCACACCCCAACCACCCCGUGCUGCGACUGCAUGACGAACAGAGCUAUCACGACCUGGGUGACAUUGUCCAAGGAUCCACUAUUGGAGUACAUGUGGAUGAAGCAACGGAGGCGGAGGAAUCAUCACCUCUCCAUCCCGAGCAUGCAGCAGCGGGGGAGAGCUCCUUGUCGCAGGUGGUGGUCAGAACGACGGGGGCGACAGCAGCAGCCAAGACCCUGACAUAA
This 3063-nucleotide ribosomal RNA is filed under the name Triticum aestivum (bread wheat). RNAcentral describes it as "partial small subunit ribosomal RNA". Lineage: Eukaryota; Viridiplantae; Streptophyta; Magnoliopsida; Poales; Poaceae. The record is from RNAcentral.